RNAcentral lists this ribosomal RNA (629 nucleotides) under Variovorax sp. EECC-282. RNAcentral describes it as "bacterial SSU rRNA". It matches the Rfam family "Bacterial small subunit ribosomal RNA", at positions 87 to 712 of the family's 1533-position model. The record is from RNAcentral. Lineage: Bacteria; Pseudomonadati; Pseudomonadota; Betaproteobacteria; Burkholderiales; Comamonadaceae.
GGCGGCGAGUGGCGAACGGGUGAGUAAUACAUCGGAACGUGCCCAAUCGUGGGGGAUAACGCAGCGAAAGCUGUGCUAAUACCGCAUACGAUCUACGGAUGAAAGCAGGGGAUCGCAAGACCUUGCGCGAAUGGAGCGGCCGAUGGCAGAUUAGGUAGUUGGUGAGGUAAAGGCUCACCAAGCCUUCGAUCUGUAGCUGGUCUGAGAGGACGACCAGCCACACUGGGACUGAGACACGGCCCAGACUCCUACGGGAGGCAGCAGUGGGGAAUUUUGGACAAUGGGCGAAAGCCUGAUCCAGCCAUGCCGCGUGCAGGAUGAAGGCCUUCGGGUUGUAAACUGCUUUUGUACGGAACGAAACGGUCUUUUCUAAUACAGAAGGCUAAUGACGGUACCGUAAGAAUAAGCACCGGCUAACUACGUGCCAGCAGCCGCGGUAAUACGUAGGGUGCAAGCGUUAAUCGGAAUUACUGGGCGUAAAGCGUGCGCAGGCGGUUAUGUAAGACAGUUGUGAAAUCCCCGGGCUCAACCUGGGAACUGCAUCUGUGACUGCAUAGCUAGAGUACGGUAGAGGGGGAUGGAAUUCCGCGUGUAGCAGUGAAAUGCGUAGAUAUGCGGAGGAACACCGA